UACGUAGGGACCAAGCGUUGUUCGGAUUUACUGGGCGUAAAGGGCGCGUAGGCGGCAAUUCAAGUCAGCUGUGAAAUCUCCGGGCUUAACUCGGAACGGUCAGCUGAUACUGCUUUGCUAGAGUGCAGAAGGGGCAAUCGGAAUUCUUGGUGUAGCGGUGAAAUGCGUAGAUAUCAAGAGGAACACCUGAGGUGAAGACGGGUUGCUGGGCUGACACUGACGCUGAGGCGCGAAAGCUAGGGUAGCAAACGGGAUUAGAAACCCCCGUAGUCC
This 273-nucleotide ribosomal RNA is filed under the name uncultured bacterium. Its description in RNAcentral is "partial 16S ribosomal RNA". It matches the Rfam family "Bacterial small subunit ribosomal RNA", at positions 524 to 796 of the family's 1533-position model. The record is from RNAcentral.